Molecule: ribosomal RNA, 747 nt
Filed under: uncultured bacterium
Lineage: Bacteria
Description: bacterial SSU rRNA
Rfam family: Bacterial small subunit ribosomal RNA
Source: RNAcentral
GAUGAACGCUGGCGGCGUGCUUAACACAUGCAAGUCGAGCGAGAAGUUUUGAAAAGAUUCUUCGGAUGAAAUUUAAAAUGGAAAGCGGCGGACGGGUGAGUAACGCGUAGGCAACCUGCCCCAUACAAAGGGAUAGCAUUUGGAAACGAAUAUUAAUACCUUAUGAAACUUAACUAGUGCAUGCUAGGUAGGUCAAAGAUUUAUCGGUAUGGGAUGGGCCUGCGUCUGAUUAGCUAGUUGGUGAGGUAACGGCUCACCAAGGCGACGAUCAGUAGCCGACCUGAGAGGGUGAACGGCCACAUUGGAACUGAGACACGGUCCAAACUCCUACGGGAGGCAGCAGUGGGGAAUAUUGCACAAUGGGGGAAACCCUGAUGCAGCAACGCCGCGUGAACGAUGAAGGCCUUUGGGUCGUAAAGUUCUGUUCUAGGUGAUGAAAACUGACAGUAACCUAGGAGAAAGCCCCGGCUAACUCCGUGCCAGCAGCCGCGGUAAUACGGAGGGGGCAAGCGUUAUCCGGAAUUAUUGGGCGUAAAGGGUACGUAGGUGGCCUUUUAAGCGUAGGGUAUAAGGCAAUGGCUCAACCAUUGUUCGCCCUAUGAACUGGAAGGCUUGAGUGCAGGAGAGGAAAGCGGAAUUCCUAGUGUAGCGGUGGAAUGCAUAGAUAUUAGGAGGAACAUCAGCGUCUAAUGCGGCUUUCUGGACUGCAACUGACACUGAGGUACGAAAGCGUGGGGAGCAAACAGG